Molecule: transfer RNA, 86 nt
Filed under: Candidatus Tachikawaea gelatinosa
Lineage: Bacteria; Pseudomonadati; Pseudomonadota; Gammaproteobacteria; Enterobacterales; Enterobacteriaceae
Rfam family: tRNA
About the family: Transfer RNA (tRNA) molecules are approximately 80 nucleotides in length.
Source: Rfam by way of RNAcentral
GCGAAGAUGGCGAAAUUGGUAAACGCACUAGUUUCAGAUGUUAGAGUCUAAAAAAAGACAUGAGGGUUCGACUCCCUCUCUUCGCA